AACGCACCUUGCGCUCCUUGGUAUUCCGAGGAGCAUGCCUGUUUGAGUGUCAUUAAAUUCUCAACCUCACCCAUUUUGUCAUGAAGUGGUUUGUGUAGGCUUGGAUAUGGGGGCUUGCAGGUCCAAUCUCUUGGUCUGCUCCUCUGAAAUGCAUUAGUGGGUUGUGCCCCCUAAUCUAUUGGUGUGAUAAUUAUCUACGCCGUGGAUCAGGAUGGGCGAUCAAUGACCUGCUGAUAACCGUCCGUCUCGGACAACAUUGACAUUUUUGACCUCAAAUCAGGUAAGACUACCCGCUGAACUUAA
RNAcentral lists this unclassified non-coding RNA (303 nucleotides) under uncultured Psathyrellaceae. Its description in RNAcentral is "sequence contains ITS2". The stretch from base 1 to 52 matches the Rfam family "5.8S ribosomal RNA", at positions 103 to 154 of the family's 154-position model. The record is from RNAcentral. Lineage: Eukaryota; Fungi; Basidiomycota; Agaricomycetes; Agaricales; Psathyrellaceae.